GCNGGCCUAACACAUGCAAGUCGAGCGGCAGCGGGAAAGUAGCUUGCUUCUUUUGCCGGCGAGCGGCGGACGGGUGAGUAAUGCCUGGGAAAUUGCCCAGUCGAGGGGGAUAACAGUUGGAAACGACUGCUAAUACCGCAUACGCCCUACGGGGGAAAGCAGGGGACCUUCCGGCCUUGCGCGAUUGGAUAUGCCCAGGUGGGAUUAGCUAGUUGGUGAGGUAAUGGCUCACCAAUGCGACGAUCCCUAGCUGGUCUGAGAGGAUGAUCAGCCACUCUGGAACUGACACACGGUCCACACUCCUACGGGAGGCAGCAGUGGGGAAUAUUGCACAAUGGGGGAAACCCUGAUGCCUCCAUGCCGCGUGUGUGAAGAAGGCCUUCNGGUUGUUAAGNACUUUCAGCGAGGAGGAAAGGUCAUUANCUAAUAUCUGCUGACUGUGACNUUACUCNNAGAAGAANCNCNNNCUAACUCCNUGCCAGC
RNAcentral lists this ribosomal RNA (483 nucleotides) under uncultured bacterium. RNAcentral describes it as "partial 16S ribosomal RNA". It matches the Rfam family "Bacterial small subunit ribosomal RNA", at positions 42 to 512 of the family's 1533-position model. The record is from RNAcentral.